This is a long non-coding RNA of Cyprinus carpio carpio, 1242 nucleotides long. The record is from Ensembl. NCBI's taxonomy places the organism in Eukaryota, Metazoa, Chordata, Actinopteri, Cypriniformes, Cyprinidae.
AUACACAAGAAAUUGUCUCCCUUCUCUGUAAACAAAUAAAAGACUUUAUCCACUUUAUCACCCUUGGUGACCUGAUACAAAUUACAUUCAUGCCAAGUGUCUGAAGUAAACAGCGUACAAAGGCUUAUCAUUUACUUUUUAUGCUUCUGUAUCUAUAAAAUCUGAUAAAGCAAUAAAACAGUGUGGCUAGUAUAAAAGUUAAACCCACACUGGAGUCAUCUGCAAACAAAGUGAAACAUUCUAUAAAAAGAUAUGAAGGAUUUUUGUUGUCAAAUGUCUGUACAGCCUUUAAUAACGUUUUAUCCUUCUGUAUCAAAAACUUAAAAAAAAGAUUGUUAUAAAAUUGAAAAAUUACUGCUUUCAACUGAUAUGGCUGUAAACUUAUUAACAGGCCAAGCACACGCACACACAUACAGUAAAUAAUCCAGUAACAGAGAUAGACUUCUCACACAGAGAUAUACUGUUAUCAUGACACUGAACUUCCACCAGCUUUCUCAGUACAGAGGUUAUUGAGAAAUACUUCUCUUGCUUGUAUAAACCCUGCCUGUCACAUAAAUACCUCCCAUUUGCCUGCAAUGUGAACCUAUAAACAGGAAAAUAAAAAAAGCAAAUCCAGGCCAACACAAUAACAACAUUCAAACAGGAAAAGCUUUCUAUUCAGAAAUGAAGAGGUACAGCUGAUCAGUUUCAAACCUGAAGAUUUAUGUACUUCUUUAUUUACUAUCUUUAAAAUGUAAAUGUGGUUCUCUGAAUAGCAUUUAUGAUUUAUUAGGUUCUCUGUUCAGAUCUUGUUGGAUACUGUAGAGGUAAUACCCUCCAUUUUCAAAAAGUAGAAGUGGAUCAGCAGUCAUGAAUUGCACUGGGUUCCAGUACUGUUUUAAAUGGUGCUACCAUUGGAGUGGACUUGAGCAAUCACAUCCUAGAGAUGAAUCCUAGGGUGAGAGAGUACAAAUGCAGAUUGUGGAUGCACCCAGUCAGGAAUGGAUUGGGAAUAUUAUGGACCAGAUCUUCCCUCGCUUGAUGCCUGCUGGUGUUUGACCUGGUCUUUCAGCUACAUUAAAUAUUGCCAUGUAGAGAUGUGCAAGACUGUGAAUCCAUACACUGUGUUCAACGUACUUGUGGGACACAAGUGUGACAGAAAAGAGCAGGAAGUUAAUCAGUUUUGCAAAUGAAUUGGGAGCAGCACAAACCAGCCACAAUGUGGCAGAAGUUUUUGAACUGUUGACCCGGCGCAUUAAUCAG